RNAcentral lists this transfer-messenger RNA (363 nucleotides) under Escherichia coli. It matches the Rfam family "transfer-messenger RNA". Rfam says of the family: Bacterial tmRNA, also known as 10Sa RNA or SsrA, is named for its dual tRNA and mRNA-like properties. Its role is to liberate the mRNA from a stalled ribosome. The record is from RNAcentral. Lineage: Bacteria; Pseudomonadati; Pseudomonadota; Gammaproteobacteria; Enterobacterales; Enterobacteriaceae.
GGGGCUGAUUCUGGAUUCGACGGGAUUUGCGAAACCCAAGGUGCAUGCCGAGGGGCGGUUGGCCUCGUAAAAAACCGCAAAAAAUAGUCGCAAACGACGAAAACUACGCUUUAGCAGCUUAAUAACCUGCUUAGAGCCCUCUCUCCCUAGCCUCCGCUCUUAGGACGGGGAUCAAGAGAGGUCAAACCCAAAAGAGAUCGCGUGGAAGCCCUGCCUGGGGUUGAAGCGUUAAAACUUAAUCAGGCUAGUUUGUUAGUGGCGUGUCCGUCCGCAGCUGGCAAGCGAAUGUAAAGACUGACUAAGCAUGUAGUACCGAGGAUGUAGGAAUUUCGGACGCGGGUUCAACUCCCGCCAGCUCCACCA